UUUCCAGACUCCUACGGGAGGCAGCAGUGAGGAAUAUUGGUCAAUGGGCGCGAGCCUGAACCAGCCAAGUCGCGUGAGGGAUGACGGUCCUACGGAUUGUAAACCUCUUUUGCCGGGGAGCAAGCGUGCGUUCGUGAACGCGCGUCGAGAGUACCCGGAGAGAAAGCAUCGGCUAACUCCGUGCCAGCAGCCGCGGUAAUACGGAGGGUGCGGGCGUUAUCCGGAUUUAUUGGGUUUAAAGGGUGCGCAGGCGGAAUGUCAAGUCAGCGGUAAAAUUUCGGGGCUCAACCCCGUCGUGCCGUUGAAACUGGCGUUCUUGAGUGAGCGAGAAGUAUGCGGAAUGCGUGGUGUAGCGGUGAAAUGCAUAGAUAUCACGCAGAACUCCGAUUGCGAAGGCAGCAUACCGGCGCUCAACUGACGCUCAUGCACGAAAGCGUGGGUAUCGAACAGGAUUAGAUACCCCGGUACAC
Molecule: ribosomal RNA, 470 nt
Filed under: uncultured bacterium
Lineage: Bacteria
Description: bacterial SSU rRNA
Rfam family: Bacterial small subunit ribosomal RNA
Source: RNAcentral